RNAcentral lists this long non-coding RNA (1043 nucleotides) under Pan troglodytes (chimpanzee). RNAcentral describes it as "long non-coding RNA NONPTRT018335". Lineage: Eukaryota; Metazoa; Chordata; Mammalia; Primates; Hominidae. The record is from RNAcentral.
GCAGGUUGGAGUGAAGGAACCACUGGACCCCCGGCUGGUUGAUCCACAGAUAGCUCCUUCCUCCCCGCCCCUUCCUUUUUGUUUGCAGGUCCCAGAAUCUGUGUUCACAGACAUCUGGGGGAAGAAAAGGAGCAGGAAACUACCCCGCACAGAGUUAAGCAGGAAACAACAACAACAUCAUGCAAAAACCCUGCAAAGAAAACGAAGGAAAGCCAAAGUGCAGCGUGCCAAAGAGGGAGGAAAAACGCCCGUAUGGAGAAUUUGAACGCCAGCAAACAGAAGGGAAUUUUAGACAGAGGCUGCUUCAGUCUCUCGAAGAAUUUAAAGAGGACAUAGACUAUAGGCAUUUUAAAGAUGAAGAAAUGACAAGGGAGGGAGAUGAGAUGGAAAGGUGUUUGGAAGAGAUAAGGGGUCUGAGAAAGAAAUUUAGGGCUCUGCAUUCUAACCAUAGGCAUUCUCGGGACCGUCCUUAUCCCAUUUAAUUAAUUUCUCUGACAAUUCAAUUAUUUUCUGUUAUUAAUGUUGCCACUGCUUUCUGUUUGUCUGCACUUUCUUGAUAAAUAUUUGCUAUCGUUUUACUCCAGUCAUUCGAUGUUGCUGAGAUUUACAUAUGACUCUUGUCAACAUCUCAUCUUUUGACCCAAUCUUAUUCAUUUAAUAAGAGGUCUCAUUCAUUUGCAUGGAAAAAUGCUCAUUGUAUAUUGCAAAGUGAAAAUAACGAGUUGCAAAACAGUGUAUACAUAUAUGUGUGUAUAUAUGUACACUUUAUUUGUACAUUUCUAUGUGACAUAAUGCAAAGGAAAGUGUCUGCCUUUAUUAUACACCAAAGGUUAACAGUGAAUCUCUGUGUGAUCUCUUUUUUUUUCUUUUUGCCUAUCUGCAUCUUCUCACUUGCCAAAAAAUGAAUAUAUGUUUAUGUGUGUAUAUUACUUGUCUCACAAAAAACCCUAAAGUAGACAGUAAAAGAACUUGUCAAUCGCCUUUGGAAGGCAAUGAAACACUUAAUAAACUCUCAAUAACAGAAGCGUAAAAAUGAAAUGUAA